GCAUAUCAAUUAGCGGAGGAAAAGAAACCAACCGGGAUUGCCUCAGUAACGGCGAGUGAAGCGGCAAAAGCUCAAAUUUGAAAUCUGGUAYMUWCGGUGCCCGAGUUGUAAUUUGUAGAGGGCGACUUUGGGGCGGCUCCUUGUCUAUGUUCCUUGGAACAGGACGUCAUAGAGGGUGAGAAUCCCGUGUGGCGAGGAGUGGCGGUUCCGURUAAAGCGCUCUCGAAGAGUCGAGUGUUUUGGG
This 244-nucleotide ribosomal RNA is filed under the name Maudiozyma humilis. RNAcentral describes it as "Kazachstania humilis partial large subunit ribosomal RNA". Lineage: Eukaryota; Fungi; Ascomycota; Saccharomycetes; Saccharomycetales; Saccharomycetaceae. The record is from RNAcentral.